Molecule: ribosomal RNA, 468 nt
Filed under: uncultured bacterium
Lineage: Bacteria
Description: partial 16S ribosomal RNA
Rfam family: Bacterial small subunit ribosomal RNA
Source: RNAcentral
GACGAACGCUGGCGGCGUGCUUAACACAUGCAAGUCGAACGGAAAGGCCCUGCUUUUGUGGGGUGCUCGAGGGGCGAACGGGUGAGGAACACGUGAGUAACCUGCCCUUGACUUUGGGAUAACUUCAGGAAACUGGGGCUAAUACCGGAUAGGAGCUCCUGCUGCAUGGUGGGGGUUGGAAAGUUUCGGCGGUCGGGGAUGGAUGCGCGGCUUAUCAGCUUGUUGGUGGGGUAGUGGCUUACCCAGGCUUUGACGGGUAGCCGGCCUGAGAGGGUGACCGGCGACCUUGGGACUGAGAUAGGGCGCAGUCUCCAACGGGAGGCAGAAGUGGGGAAUAUGGCCCAAUGAGAGGGAGCCUGAUGCAGAAACGCCGCGGGCGGGAUGCCGGUCUUUUGGUUAUAAACCGCUUUCGCCUGUGACGAAGCGUGAGUGACGGUACUGGGUAAAGAAGCACCGGCUAACUACGUG